CAACAGGGAUUGCCUCAGUAACGGCGAGUGAAGCGGCAAGUGCUCAAAUUUUAAAUCUGGCGUCUACGACGUCCCGAGUUGUAAUUUGGAGAGGCAUCUUCGGGGGACAGCGUCAGACUAUGUUCCUUGGAACAGGACGUCACAGAGGGUGAGAAUCCCGUGUCUGCCUGGCUGUCUGAUCCCUUGUGAAGUGCCUUCUACGAGUCGAGUUGUUUGGGAAUGCAGCUCCAAGUGGGUGGUAAAUUUCAUCUAAAGCUAAAUAUGGGCGAGAGACCGAUAGCGCACAAGUAGAGUGAUCGAAAGAUGAAAAGCACUUUGAAAAUAGAGUUAAAAAGUACGUGAAAUUGUUGAAAGGGAAGCGCUUGAGACCAGACUCAGCCCCUAGCAAACAGCCUUCCCUACUCCAGGGAGGUCCACUUUCAUUGGGGCUGGGCCAGCGUCGGUUAGUGUGGUGGGACAAAGGCGUAGGAAAUGUGGCUCCUCUCGAGGAGUGUUAUAGUCCUGCGUGCAAUGCCACCUAUGCUGACUGAGGGCCGCGCCUCGGCGAGGAUGCUGGCACAAU
This 562-nucleotide ribosomal RNA is filed under the name Balsamia magnata. Its description in RNAcentral is "eukaryotic LSU rRNA". It matches the Rfam family "Eukaryotic large subunit ribosomal RNA", at positions 66 to 635 of the family's 3401-position model. Lineage: Eukaryota; Fungi; Ascomycota; Pezizomycetes; Pezizales; Helvellaceae. The record is from RNAcentral.